Molecule: transfer RNA, 67 nt
Filed under: Loxodonta africana (African savanna elephant)
Lineage: Eukaryota; Metazoa; Chordata; Mammalia; Proboscidea; Elephantidae
Rfam family: tRNA (bases 9-67)
About the family: Transfer RNA (tRNA) molecules are approximately 80 nucleotides in length. Their secondary structure includes four short double-helical elements and three loops (D, anti-codon, and T loops).
Source: Rfam by way of RNAcentral
GGUGGCACAGUGGUUAAGCAUUCGGCUGCUAACUGAAAGGUUGGUGGUUCAAAUCCACCAGCCACUG